CACACACACAUCAAUGGCUCUGAUGCACUAUUUACACUGUUUACACUGAUGGACCAUUUACACUGUUACUGUGGAGACAGGGAGGAAGGGAGACAGGGAGACAGGGAGGAAGGGAGGAAGGGAGACAGGGAGACAGGGAGGAAGGGAGACAGGGAGGAAGGGAGGAAGGGAGACAGGGAGACAGGGAGGAAGGGAGGCAGGGAGGCAUGGAGACAGGGAGACAGAGAUACAGGGAGACAGGGAGGAAGGGAGACAGGGAGACAGGGAGGAAGGGAGGAAGGGAGACAGGGAGGCAGGGAGACAGGGAGACAGAGAGGCAGGGAGACAGGGAGACAGGGAGACAGGAGACAGAGAUACAGGGAGGCAGGGAGACAGGGAGACAGGGAGACAGGGAGGAAGGGAGACAGGGAGACAGGGAGGAAGGGAGACAGGGAGGAAGGGAGACAGGGAGACAGGGAGGAAGGAGACAGGGAGACAGGGAGGAAGGGAGACAGGGAGACAGGGAGACAGAGAUACAGGGAGGCAUGGAGACAGGGAGGAAGGAGACAGGGAUACAGGGAGACAGGGAUACAGGGAGGCUGGGAGGAAGGGAGGAUACAGGGAGGCAGGGAGGAAGGGAGGAAGGGAGACAGGGAGGAAGGGAGACAGGGAGACAGGGAGGAAGGAGGAAGGAGACAGGGAGACAGGGAGACAGGGAGGAAGGGAGG
Long non-coding RNA from Oncorhynchus tshawytscha (Chinook salmon), 707 nucleotides. The record is from Ensembl. NCBI's taxonomy places the organism in Eukaryota, Metazoa, Chordata, Actinopteri, Salmoniformes, Salmonidae.